AUUAAUUAAUAAAGAUAAUAAUAAUAACAAUAAUAAUAACAAAUAAUACUUUUUUUCGUUUGUUAAAGAUUUGUGGUGGAAGUGAGAAGGAGAUUAUGAAGAAACUGUCAAAGAAUGUAAAAAAAAAAAGAAAAAAAAGAUAUAUAUAAAUUAGAUCUAUAUAAAUGUUAAAAUGUGAGAUUUUUGCUAGGUAGAUACAAGAGGCAAUAUGACUAAGGCAUCGUUUGGGAUUGUGGGGAGAUUGCGUUAUGUGUGGUGAGAAACGACGAUGGAAAAGUAUCAUGUUUGUUUCUGUACGUAAUAUUACAUUCCGCAUAUUACGGUUAAUCGGUUACGAUAUAUUUUCUGCGGUUCCAUCGGAGAACAUAGAAGCAUAUUGCUAUAUGUUUUUUCUCAACUCCAUUCUAUCUAAUAGCAUUAGAUAGACGUCAAUACCAAACUAACCCUAAAACAUAUUAAAAAGUCCUCUUGGCCACUUUUUUUUUUUUUAUUUUGCUAGAUUAUUUUGCUUCAAAUAAUCACAAACUUUGAAACCUCUCUCUCUCUCUCUCUCUCUCUCUCUCUCUCUCUCUCUCUC
This 577-nucleotide long non-coding RNA is filed under the name Ananas comosus (pineapple). Its description in RNAcentral is "long non-coding RNA (ACOM_LNC009739)". The record is from RNAcentral. Lineage: Eukaryota; Viridiplantae; Streptophyta; Magnoliopsida; Poales; Bromeliaceae.